CCUACGGGGGGCUGCAGUGGGGAAUCUUGCGCAAUGGGCGAAAGCCUGACGCAGCGACGCCGCGUGAGCGACGAAGGCCUUCGGGUUGUAAAGCUCUGUCAGAGGGGACGAUAAUGACGGUACCCUCAGAGGAAGCCCCGGCUAACUACGUGCCAGCAGCCGCGGUAAGACGUAGGGGGCUAGCGUUGUCCGGAAUUACUGGGCGUAAAGGGCGUGUAGGCGGCUUGGCAAGUCAGUGGUGAAAGACCUGGGCUUAACCCAGGUAUUGCCGUUGAAACUGCCUGGCUUGAGGGUAGAAGAGGAGUGUGGAAUUCCCGGUGUAGCGGUGAAAUGCGUAGAGAUCGGGAGGAACACCAGUGGCGAAGGCGACACUCUGGUCUACACCUGACGCUGAGGCGCGAAAGCUAGGGGAGCAAACAGGAUUAGAUACCCGAGUAGUC
This 440-nucleotide ribosomal RNA is filed under the name uncultured bacterium. Its description in RNAcentral is "bacterial SSU rRNA". It matches the Rfam family "Bacterial small subunit ribosomal RNA", at positions 338 to 795 of the family's 1533-position model. The record is from RNAcentral.